This 236-nucleotide non-coding RNA is filed under the name Heyndrickxia sporothermodurans. RNAcentral's name for it is "Bacillus sporothermodurans T-box sequence". It matches the Rfam family "T-box leader". From Rfam's summary of the family: Uncharged tRNA acts as the effector for transcription antitermination of genes in the T-box leader family. T-boxes are found upstream of many aminoacyl-tRNA synthetase genes and some amino acid biosynthetic genes usually in Gram-positive bacteria. The anticodon of a specific tRNA base pairs to a specifier sequence within the T-box motif, and the NCCA acceptor tail of the tRNA base pairs to a conserved bulge in the T-box antiterminator hairpin. The record is from RNAcentral. Lineage: Bacteria; Bacillati; Bacillota; Bacilli; Caryophanales; Bacillaceae.
ACACAAACGAUGACAGGGACAGUACAAUUGUUCAACGUCUUAUUAUAAUAAGCGAACCAAGGAUAGUGGAAGCUUGGUAUAAGCGAAUAAUUGGAAAAUCACCCUAGAGUUCUUGUAUUGAACAUCAAGUUGGUAAGUAGAUACAAGCGAUUCAUUCACGAUACGAAUGUGUAAGUGGAUAUCCAUUAAUGAUAUCUAUUAGGGUGGUACCGCGGGAAAGCCUUCUCGUCCCUUCC